Molecule: ribosomal RNA, 403 nt
Filed under: uncultured bacterium
Lineage: Bacteria
Description: partial 16S ribosomal RNA
Rfam family: Bacterial small subunit ribosomal RNA
Source: RNAcentral
AUUGAAGCUGGCGGCAGGCCUAACACAUGCAAGUCGAGCGAGCGGCGAACGGGUGAGUAAUGCCUCGGAACGUGCCUGGUAGCGGGGGAUAACUUCCCGAAAGGGGCGCUAAUACCGCAUACUAUCGGACCGGCCUAUAUCGGAUUAGCUAGUUGGUGGGGUAACGGCUCACCAAGGCGACGAUCCGUAGCUGGUCUGAGAGGACGACCAGCCACACUGGAACUGAGACACGGUCCAGACGCGUACGGGAGGCAGCAGUGGGGAAUUGUGCACAAUGGGGGAAACCUGAUGCAGCCAUGCCGCGUGUGUGAAGAAGGCCUUCGGUUGUAAAGCACUUUUAGCGGGGAGGCGGUACCCGCAGAAGAAGCACCGGCUAACUCCGUGCCAGCAGCCGCGGUAAGAC